AUGCGCCUUGCCAGCCCGCUCAGAACUUAAAGGAAUUGACGGGGCCGCACAAGCGGAGGAACAUGUGGUUUUAAUUCGAUGAUACGCGAGGAACCUUACCUGGGCUUAAAUGGGGAGUGACAGCUGUCGAAAGAUGGUUUUCUUCGGACACUCUUCAAGGUGCUGCAUGGUUGUCGUCAGCUCGUGCCGUGAGGUGUCGGGUUAAGUCCCAUAACGAGCGCAACCCUUACCGUUAGUUACCAUCAGGUUAAGCUGGGGACUCUAGCGGGACUGCCACCGUAAGGUGAGAGGAAGGUGGGGAUGACGUCAAAUCAGCACGGCCCUUAUGUCCAGGGCUACACACGUGUUACAAUGGCCGGUACAAAGGGCAGCUACUUCGCGAGAAGAUGCUAAUCUCGAAAGCCGGUCUCAGUUCGGAUCGAAGUCUGCAACCCGACUUCGUGAAGCUGGAUUCGCUAGUAAUCGCGCAUCAGCCAUGGCGCGGUGAAUACGUUCCCGGGCCUU
This 504-nucleotide ribosomal RNA is filed under the name uncultured Sphingobacteriales bacterium. RNAcentral's name for it is "bacterial SSU rRNA". It matches the Rfam family "Bacterial small subunit ribosomal RNA", at positions 903 to 1382 of the family's 1533-position model. Lineage: Bacteria; Pseudomonadati; Bacteroidota; Sphingobacteriia; Sphingobacteriales. The record is from RNAcentral.